AUUAUCCUACAUUCAGGAUUGAAAACUCCAUCCUCUAGGUAACUCAUGACAGAAGACCCCUAUUCUCAGGACAGGGAAAAAGGACUCUUAACAAGAAAAGAAGGGACCCAGCUCUACCUGCCUGAGCACCAGGCAGCCUUCCAGCCUGGCACAGUCCCAAACCUUACCCCAGACCUCAGUGAUUCCUUCUAGAACACACCAGUCUCCCCGUUUUUAAGGAAACCAUUAACAUUCAGCUACAGCCACCAAACCCCAGGACACUCAAGGAACACUGUUCGGCCACGGGUGGGUUGGAGUCUUGUGUUAACAUUUUGGAAGAGUCAGUGUGUGAUGGAAAAAGAAGCAACAGUCUUUACCGUUUGCCAGAGGCUAUGGAGGGAAUCGGCAGUAGUGGCCUUUGUGGCGCAGAAGUAGGUUUGGGGUGGCGAGACAUGGGAUCCAUGGAAAGGAGUCCAGCCAGGAGGCACUUGUCCCACAGUGCACUGGGAGCACAGCCUCCCACGAACGCACGUGACAGCUGCCAUCACGAGAAUUAGGAGGUGGCUGCGCCCUUCUUUUGUUGGCAGAGCAGCUGCUGGAAACUUCUCCUGAGUCAGUCUCGUCAGAACCCUGGCCAUGGAAGACUCAGUACCAGGAAAAAGUCUCUAUAUAUCAGACUCCCUGGCUCUCAGAAGACAGUCUGAAGAAGACGAAACCACAUCCCAGUUAAGUUCUCUGUUUGAUCCAGAGAAAGCAGGCAGCUCUGGGCAUUCACUCUGAGCCUGCUGGAAUUGUACUGGACUGAAGCUCCCUGCCAAGGCCCUGCUGAGCCUCAGACAUGUUUAUUAGACCCACCAGGGAGCUUAAGAAGGUUCUGGAAUGAGUCCCUCUGGCCAGACAGCUUCCCCCAACCUUCCAGCCCCUGCACAGGAUUUGGCCUUCAGCACCCCUCAGCAUUCAGACCUGUGGAAGCCGCCUCUCACUUGGUUUUCUCAGGGCCCGCCCUUUUGACAAGAAUUUCUGAGCUGGUUGUGUCAGUCAGAGAAUAAAAAGCAUUGAACUGGCCCACAAUUUCUUUUGCAUCCCAGGCAUCCAGCCAUGACCAGCCAGAUUUUCUAACUUGUCAGACUCACUGAGACCCUGGUAGACCACAUGGUUGCCAUGGUUUUCUAGAGGGACUUUAUCUGAGGUGGCCUUGCUUUCUGGUCUUUCUCAGGGGACCGGGUAGACAGUGCCAUUCCUUCCUGUUUCCUCCUUGUUCAUCUUUGUAUCCAUCGGGUCGGCUUCAGAAAGCGCUGUCCCCUUUCUUGGACUACCUUGGCACCCGUGUCCUCCUUGAGGCCACACCAGGCAGUCUCACAAGAGCCGCGUGUUUUGGACAGGGCAAUUCUUAAUAAAUGUGAUAACCAUGAU
Molecule: long non-coding RNA, 1392 nt
Organism: Cebus imitator (Panamanian white-faced capuchin)
Lineage: Eukaryota; Metazoa; Chordata; Mammalia; Primates; Cebidae
Exons: 2
Source: RefSeq, a predicted model, not a curated record